AUUGAACGCUGGCGGCAUGCUUUACACAUGCAAGUCGAACGGUAACAGGGUGCUUGCACCGCUGACGAGUGGCGAACGGGUGAGUAAUGCGUCGGAACGUGCCGAGUAGUGGGGGAUAACGCAGCGAAAGUUGUGCUAAUACCGCAUACGUACUGAGGUAGAAAGUGGGGGACCUUCGGGCCGCACGCUAUUCUAGCGGCCGAAGGCUGAUCAGCUAGUAGGUGAGGAAAAGGCUCACCUAGGCGACGAUCAGCAGCGGGUCUGAGAGGAUGAUCCGCCACACGGGGACUGAGACACGGCCCAGACUCCUACGGGAGGCAGCAGUGGGGAAUUUUGGACAAUGGGCGAAAGCCUGAUCCAGCCAUGCCGCGUGUCUGAAGAAGGCCUUCGGGUUGUAAAGGACUUUUGUCAGGGAGGAAAUCCCUAGUGCUAAUAACACUGGGGGAUGACAGUACCUGAAGAAUAAGCACCGGCUAACUACGUGCCAGCAGCCGCGGUAA
Molecule: ribosomal RNA, 500 nt
Filed under: uncultured bacterium
Lineage: Bacteria
Description: partial 16S ribosomal RNA
Rfam family: Bacterial small subunit ribosomal RNA
Source: RNAcentral